RNAcentral lists this long non-coding RNA (508 nucleotides) under Linum usitatissimum (flax). RNAcentral describes it as "long non-coding RNA (LUSI_LNC003578)". Lineage: Eukaryota; Viridiplantae; Streptophyta; Magnoliopsida; Malpighiales; Linaceae. The record is from RNAcentral.
CGGAUUUUACCAAAAAAAGAGCCGCCACCAAACUAAUACGGGGAAAAAUUGUCCACAUAGGAAAUGAGUAACACAGUGUCGUAAACUACCCUUAAUCAAGCCUUGGCAACAGCUGCACUUCUCUGUGGUCAUUGCAUUUCUCCCGCCACCAACACACUUCCCGUCCACCCGAAAACCCCCCAACUCCAGACGCUCCUACUUCAAUCCUCGAGCUCUAUCUUUCAACUAUUCAGAUGUUGACCUCUAUCUUUCAACAAUUCUGAUGUUGACCUAGCCAAUAUCGACAAGGAGAUAAGAAGGAUGACGCUAGCGACGUUAAAUCAAAAGUGGCUUUAAGUCUGCAGUUGUUUGUGAUUGGGAAUGACGAGGCAGAGGAACUUAUUCUCCAUGAGCUCUUCCAUCUUCACAUCAUCCACGAAAUUAUUUUGUAUUGCCAUAAUAGCUAAUCUAUUAAGCCUCUCUUGUGUCACCAUAGAGUGCAAAUAAAACUUCAACAACUUCAAUUUGG